UAUCUGAGAGAGAGAUUAUAGUACGUGAACUGAAUGAGUGGAAGCGUAUAGAGUUGUCGAAAGAUGGUAAUAAUAAGUUAUAUUGGAAUGUAACGGUCUAUGAAAUGUUUCUGUAUGGAUCAUUUUAUGGAUGUAGUUUAUUUUAAUAUAAUGCACUUGUUGCCAUUGUGCUGAUACAAUUGAUUAAGAUUUUUGAAAUUAUAUUAGAGGGCAUAUCUUCGGAUGUGUAUCCUGGUAUAAUGGAUAAAGUUUUUGGUUAAUUGUCCUAUAUUGAAUAAAAGAUGGUAUAAAUUAGGUGGUGUACUAAAGUUAACGCUUGCGUUGGCUUUUAUAUAUUGCUUAAUUUUAUGCUUUAUGAUAUUUAAUAUAUAUCAGUAUAAAAGACAAUCACCUAUAUGUCCCGUCUUGAAACACGGACCAAGGAGUUUAUUGUAUAUGCGAGUCAUUGAGUGAUUAAAACUCAUUGGCGUAAUGAAAGUAAAGCAUACUUUAUGUAUGUGAUAUAUGAUUGUUUUUCUACGGAAAAGCAAGUAGUAUAGUCCCAUCUAAUUUGUUUACAAAUGGGUGGAGAUAGAGCAUAUGCAAUGAGACCCGAAAGAUGGUGAACUAUGCCUGAGCAGGAUGAAGUCAGAGGAAACUCUGAUGGAAGUCCGAAGC
This 657-nucleotide ribosomal RNA is filed under the name Panagrolaimus sp. S71. Its description in RNAcentral is "partial large subunit ribosomal RNA". It matches the Rfam family "Eukaryotic large subunit ribosomal RNA", at positions 373 to 881 of the family's 3401-position model. The record is from RNAcentral. Lineage: Eukaryota; Metazoa; Nematoda; Chromadorea; Rhabditida; Panagrolaimidae.